UCCCUGGUGGCUCAGAGGUUAAAGCGUCUGCCUCCAAUGCGGGAGACCUGGGUUCAACCCCUGGGUCGGGAA
Molecule: transfer RNA, 72 nt
Filed under: Ovis aries (sheep)
Lineage: Eukaryota; Metazoa; Chordata; Mammalia; Artiodactyla; Bovidae
Also listed under: 1 other name
Rfam family: tRNA
About the family: Transfer RNA (tRNA) molecules are approximately 80 nucleotides in length. Their secondary structure includes four short double-helical elements and three loops (D, anti-codon, and T loops). Further hydrogen bonds mediate the characteristic L-shaped molecular structure. tRNAs have two regions of fundamental functional importance: the anti-codon, which is responsible for specific mRNA codon recognition, and the 3' end, to which the tRNAs corresponding amino acid is attached (by aminoacyl-tRNA synthetases). tRNAs cope with the degeneracy of the genetic code in two manners: having more than one tRNA (with a specific anti-codon) for a particular amino acid; and 'wobble' base-pairing, i.e. permitting non-standard base-pairing at the 3rd anti-codon position.
Source: Rfam by way of RNAcentral